GCCAAAAGCUUUCGUUAGGGGAAUUUCCCUUGGGAAGGUCUGAGUGGAAUAUGGUCGAAAUGGCACUUAGUUAAUGCUAAGAAAGUUAGUUUAAUAGAAAUUUACUUUUGAUAUGACUGAAAUAGAAUGAUUAUCAUUUAGUCUGGAAAAUGCUAACUAUUCCAUUUUUAAAUAGUCAAACACGAAAGGCAAUGUAGGUCCAUUGUAACAAAAUUCAGACUACUCUUUGGC
The sequence is a non-coding RNA, 231 nucleotides long. It matches the Rfam family "Nuclear RNase P". Rfam says of the family: Ribonuclease P (RNase P) is a ubiquitous endoribonuclease, found in archaea, bacteria and eukarya as well as chloroplasts and mitochondria. Its best characterised activity is the generation of mature 5'-ends of tRNAs by cleaving the 5'-leader elements of precursor-tRNAs. The record is from Rfam.